This 74-nucleotide transfer RNA is filed under the name Candidatus Portnoybacteria bacterium CG_4_10_14_0_8_um_filter_40_50. RNAcentral's name for it is "tRNA-Pro". It matches the Rfam family "tRNA". Rfam says of the family: Transfer RNA (tRNA) molecules are approximately 80 nucleotides in length. Their secondary structure includes four short double-helical elements and three loops (D, anti-codon, and T loops). The record is from RNAcentral. Lineage: Bacteria; Candidatus Portnoyibacteriota.
CGGGGUGUAGUAUAAUGGUAGUAUUUGCCCUCGGGGAGGGUAAGACCUGAGUUCAAUUCUCAGCACCCCGACCA